AUGGCUGGUGAAGCAGCAAUCCAUGGCGCAGCCACAUCUGCACAUGCAUUGCUUCUUCUGUUCCUCGUCCCACUCGUUCUACUUCUCGUCGGUGCGAAAAGAUGGAACCGGAGGAGCAAGCAGCGGCUGAACCUGCCGCUCCCACCUUCCCCUCCGCGCGCGCUCCCGGUGAUCGGGCACCUCCACCAUGUCGGCCCCCUCCCUCACGUCUCCUUCCGCGAACUCGCCAGUAAGCACGGCCGGGACCUCAUGCUCCUCCGCCUCGGCGCGGUGGACACGGUGGUCGUGUCCUCGCCGCGCGCCGCCGCGGCCGUCCUGCGCACGCACGACCACGCGCUCGCGUCCAGGUCGUGCUCCGCCGUCGCCGACAUCAUCUUCUACAAGCGGACCGACGUCGCCUUCGCGCCCUACGGCGAGCCCUGGCGACAGGCCAGGAAGGUGGUCACCACGCACAUGCUCAGCGCCAAGAAGGUGCACUCGUUCCGCCACGACCGCGAGGAGGAGGCGCGCAUAGCCAUGGCUAAGAUCCGUGACGCGGCGGCGACCGCGGGGCCCGCGGCGCCGGUGGACAUGAGCGAGCUCCUGGGCUCGUACGCGAACGACGUGGUGUGCCGGGCGGUGCUCGGGAGAAACCACCGCGACGAUGGCAGGAACAAGCUGCUCCGCGAGCUGAUCGACAUCAACAUGUCGCUCCUGGGAGGGUUCAACGUUGAGGAUUACUUCCCGAGCUUGGCAGUGGCGGACGUGUUCACCGGCAUGGUGGUGUGUCCCAGGGCUAGGAGGGUUCGCAAGAGGUGGGACGAGCUGCUCCACAAGCUCAUCGACGAGCACGGGCGCCAGCGCGAGCAGGACGAUGCCAGCGCAGACUUCAUACACGUGUUGCUCGCCCAGCAGGAAGAGUACGGCCUCACCACGGACAACGUCAAGGCGAUCUUGCUGGACAUGUUUGAGGCGGGGACAGAGACGACAUAUCUGGUGCUGGAAUUCGCGAUGGCAGAGCUGAUGAACAACCCGCACGUCAUGGCCAAACUGCAAGCGGAGGUGAGGAGGAGGCGAGCGCCGGCGGCGGCCGUAGGCAAGGUCGACGAAGGACAAUCACAACAAGACGUGGUAACGGAGGAGGAGCUGGGCGACAUGGCCUACCUGAGGGCCACCGUGAAGGAGACGCUGAGGCUGCACCCGCCGGUGCCGCUGCUCCUCCCCCACCUCUCGAUCGCAGACUGCGAGGUCGACGGCUACGCGAUCCCUGCCGGGACGCGGCUCAUGGUCAACGCGUGGGCCCUCGCGAGGGACCCCGCGUCCUGGGAGGCGCCGGACGAGUUCGCGCCGGAGAGGUUCCUCCAAGGAGGCAGCGCGGCGGCGGUCGACAGCAAGGGGAAGGACUUUGAGUUUCUGCCGUUCGGGUCCGGGCGGAGGAUCUGCCCCGGCAUAAACUUCGCCAACACUGCCGUGGAGAUGAUGCUAGCGAACCUCGUGUACCAUUUCGACUGGGAGCUGCCGGCGGGGACGAAGGGGGUCGACAUGACUGAAGUGUUCAGCUUGUCGAUCCGCCGUAAGGAGAAGCUCCUCCUUGUUCCAACUCCAAGAUCUCGCCGCGAGGAGUGA
Molecule: ribosomal RNA, 1605 nt
Filed under: Triticum aestivum (bread wheat)
Lineage: Eukaryota; Viridiplantae; Streptophyta; Magnoliopsida; Poales; Poaceae
Description: partial small subunit ribosomal RNA
Source: RNAcentral